UCCUCUUUUUCUCAUUCAAAUCAGUCAUGCAUUCAAAAUCCGCUUUCCUUCUGAUCGUGGUGGCAGUUAGCACCACGGCCAUGGUGCACGGCCACCCUGCCGCUAGCACUCCGGCGGGACGGUUCUGGGAGCAGGCCCUCUCCGGCACGCCUAUGCCGGAGGUUCUAGCUGAUUUUGUUCAGAAAGGUAAUCUUCUAACAUGUUUAAUUAUAUGUUUGGUAUAUAAAUACCUAAUAGGUUUUCCUUAUAUAUAAUUACUAGCAAAAAUACACGUAUGUUGUGACAGAAUUUACACCCUGGGACGUCUGUUCUAAUAUUAGGCUGCUCGGCUGUGCUGGCUUAACUUAUCUGCAGCUGCAGUAACCAGGUGGCAGCAGCGACAGUACACAUUCAGUUCAAUAGGCCACAGCCCAAUAAGCCUAUUCAGUCCAAGCGAUCGAGCAAGCCAUGAUGUUCUGAGAUGAGAUUUCGUACUGUGAUUGAGCAUAUAACCAUCUAAUUUUUUUUCGUAAAAACACUCCAAAAAUUCAGUUUUAGCACAAGCUGAAAAAACCCAAUAGGUCCGAUCAACAAACUUCCUCCUUAUAUUUCUGCACUUUUGCACUCCUCGUUCAUCCAUGGGUCGCUUGCAGCGGUGCGGGGAUAGAGGUUCAGGUACCUCUUUAUCCGCCAUGGACGACAGAGCACCGUGCAUGACUUCCUGCUGCGCGCUCGAUCUAGCAGCGUGACUGGUAGAAGAGGCUGUGCUGUACGUGGGCUACUUCAGACAUCAUCAGAGUUAUAAUAUGACUGGCUCCUUGCUGCAAAGCUGCCGCUCUUAAUUUUUUAAAGCUCGUGGUGCAAAUUUAGGUUUUCAUACAACUAAUCUUGGAAAUAUUGGAGGAUGGGUGGUGUUCUGCAUGCUCCCAAUAUUUUUAUUUAUUUUUUGGCAAGCUUCAGAAGCAGUUUUCUAGCACUCAUUUUUCAAGUUCGGUUGGAAAUGAUCUAACUCGUGUGAGCAUCGAUCGUGAGUAACGGGACAAUAAAUAAGUUAGAACUGUAAUCUCUAAUUUAUCAUGUACUUCUUCCUCUAUUCCAAACUGUAAGCAAGAAUCUUAGAGAUUCAAAGAAUUUUAAGUUUGACAAAAAUUAUAAAGAAAUCUACAAAUAUUUGUGACAUCAAAUAGGUAUAUUAUGAAAAUAUAAUUAAUGAAGAAUCUAAUAAUACUUAGUUGACAUCAUGAAUGUUAUUAUCUUAUCAUAUAAAUUUGGUCAAACUUGAGAAGCUUUGACUCUUCUAGAUUCUUGGAAUGACUUACAAUUACUACUCUUAGUAAACUGACUAGAACUCUUAUACUUUAUAAACAAAUUAGAACUGUAAAAUUCAAUUCAUCAUGUACUAGUACUCUUAGUAAAAUCGGCUAGAACUUCUAUACUAUGGAGAGUGAUGGGACACAUCGGAAGAGAGUCUAAUAUGGACCAAAAUUCAGAGGAAUAAAUUUUCGCCUUUUAAUAUUAAGGAACGUAUCUGGUGCAAACCAACCUCUCCGUGCAACCGUGCAAACUUCUAAUCGGAGCUACAGGAUGUUGAUCCAAGGGGGAAUGGAAGGGGGAUUCGCAAAAGCGUGAUUAGGGGCCGACGGUUAAGUGUAAAAUUACGUAAUCCCCACGCCCCCUUGGAUCAACAUCCUAUGGCCCAGAUUAGAAGUUUGCAUGGUUGCACGGAGAGGUUAGUUUUUUUGCUUUAAUAUUAUGUAUGUAUAUAUAGAGUUACCGAAACGACUCCUUGGCGAUCGAUCGCGGGAGCGAUCGAUUCCGACCGCGCUCGUCGCUCCACCUAUUCCCUUUCCCUUUCUAGCCUUUUUCCUUUUCUGGAAAAGCCCAGCCGUGCGCAAUUCCCUUUUCCUUUUCCAUCCCCUCCUCCUCCGCUGCAGCUGCCCUGCUGCUUCCCCUCCCCCUCCUCGCCGAGGCGCCUCACGAGCGCUGUGCCCGCACGAGCGCCGCGAGGGAGGUGGCUAGUACGACGAGGCGUCGCGCCAGCACUAGCACCGCGAGGUCAAAGGGCAGCAACAGGCAAUACGGCGAGGCGCAGCAACCGCACGGGCUCCGCGAGUUCCAGGGCCGGAAGCGGCCAAUACGGCGAGGCGGUGCCUGUCUGGCGGCCGUACGGCCUCCGCCGCGUGCGCGACCUUGCUCCUGCGCCUCCUACCCGGGCUGGACCUCCCCCCGUGCGUCGUCCCCACCCGCAUCACCAAGCUUCCCAACGGCGUCCGCGACUCCGCGUCGCCUCCGAGGAUGUCCAGGGAGCAGCACAGGGAUGGCGAAUUUGGCCGCUCUGCUCUGAUGAUGCCGUUAGAGCACAACUUGCUCGUUCUCAGCAUGAGGAAGAAGAUGAUUUAAAUGUUUUGGAAGGACUAAUCCAGUGAGGAUGGUGGACAAGAAAAUAUAGAAGGAAUGUGUAUGUCAAAACUGAAGAAAAGCAGACCACCUUGGUGGCUCUGUUCUCACAAAAGAAGAUUGUUUACUGUUUCACACAAAAUCGGAUUUUUGCCAGCAACUCAUCCACCUUGGUCUCAUCUUUCGUUGACGACCGAGCAUCACGUAGCAAUAUCUCUGCGAAAAUCCAUAGAAGUAUCGGAACCGGCUGUGGAUAUGGGAAAAAGAAAAUCCCUAAAAUGCAUCUCUGAAACAAUGGCAUUUUUUCAGUGAAUGAACUAAGGAUAGCAGGUGCCACUGUUCCAGAUUGUACUAAUUCUCUGAAAAUUGAUUUGUUUUUCUGUAGCAAGUUGUCGUAUGAAUUUCAAAAAGGAACUAUUCUCUGAAAAUUGUUUCGUAUUUCUGUAGCAAUUUAUUGUAUGGAUUCUGAACACUGUUCAAGGAAAUCAGCAGCUGCCAUUGUUCGGAGAAUGAGCUAAUUCUCUGAAAAUCGUUUUGUUUUUCUGUAGCAAGUUAAUGUAUGAAAUCUGAAUUUGUUCAAAGAAAUCAGCAGCUGCCCUUAUUUUACAUCAGUUUACCCCCUCUUAGUAGAAAGGAACAACUCAUUUCUCUCGCUACUCCUAAUUUUGUGUUGUGCUUUUGUGUAGGAGGAGGAAUUGAUUCUCAGACCACAAAAACAACAGAACAACAGGGAUGAUAUUCAGGAGGAGAAAUUGAUUCUCAGAUCACAAAGAACCACAGAGCAGCAAGGGUGAUAUUCAGGUUGACAUAUCUCCAUAGACAAUCUAACCUGUACAGGGAUGAGUAAGAUAUGAAAAACUUCAAUUGAAAGCACCGCAAAGCCCAAGAAUAGUACAAUGGGCUCGACAUUGGUUGAACAUAGGGUUCUUGCAUGCAAGUGUAUGGCCGGGUAAAUAAGUACGUGAUUAAUAUGUUGGGAAAAGCAGUAAUGGUCGAGCAAAAUGAAUAGGAUAGACACAAUCUUCUCCCACCAAGUUACUGGUCAAGAUACUAUAUCGAAUGCGACAUUGCUAAAUUAUUCCAAAAGGCAUUUGAAACUCCAAUGGCGUUAUCUGUUCACCUGAGGGAGAGAAUGAUAGGAUUCCAGCUUGAUCGAAUUCACAUGGUGUUUUUACCUUUAAGCUCAUACGGUUUCUGUACACAGUUGUUGCUAACUUUAGGAAAAAAAUGUUCGAAGUCCUCUGCCCAAACAACAGAACCGACUUGAUUGCUGACGAUGCUCAGCUUGUAAUCAAGAAUUUCAAAGCUUCUUUCAGGCUGGCAUACAACAGAUCACAAGUAAAUGUGACUGACAUGGGCGUGUCUUUCUGGAGUGUGUGCUCUUCAAAAUAAAGAGAGCAUGCAAAGAGCCUGCGCGAGAGUCUAACUUACUACAUGGUCGCUCACCCUUGCAAUGAAAACCUGAUGCCAGAAACCAAACAAAUCUUAAGAAAAUAUGGUGUUCCAUUCGACUACUCGAUACGUGUGACUAAACGAAAAUUUUAUUUCAUUUCCUCUGUCUUUUUUGCAAACAGAUUUAUUUCUCUUUACAGUUUUUCCAAGGUUGUAUGUAUUCCCCUGUGAUUUCUAACCUUUUCUUUUUCUUUUCCCAUGAACAUAAAUCUCACAUACUCCAGGGUAUUCUCCAUGGGGUCCUGUUGCACA
Triticum dicoccoides is the source of this 4080-nucleotide RNA transcript. It is a transcript of the gene named BURP domain-containing protein 13-like, with no coding region annotated. The record is from RefSeq and is a predicted model, not a curated record. The transcript has 8 exons. NCBI's taxonomy places the organism in Eukaryota, Viridiplantae, Streptophyta, Magnoliopsida, Poales, Poaceae.